UGAACAUUCAAAGGAGGUGCAGGUUCAUCUCUUGUGGUUUCAAGAGAGGUGUCUUCGAAACUUUUUCAAAUUGUUUUUCUGUGAUUAUUAUUUGUAAUUGUUUUGUGAUAGUGGAAAGUCUAUCUGUGCAAAUUUUUCUGUACCUUACUGUUGUCAUUUAUAUUUAUUAUCUACUAAGUAAGAAAAUUGAGAAGAAAUUUUAAAAGGCGCACACUUUAAUUAAAGAACCAAUUCACCCCCCUCUUGGUUUAUUGUUCCAUGUUAAACAU
RNAcentral lists this long non-coding RNA (269 nucleotides) under Vigna radiata. RNAcentral's name for it is "long non-coding RNA (VRAD_LNC002920)". The record is from RNAcentral. Lineage: Eukaryota; Viridiplantae; Streptophyta; Magnoliopsida; Fabales; Fabaceae.